CCGAGUUUACAACUCCCAAACCCCUGUGAACAUACCUUAAUGUUGCCUCGGCGGAUCAGCCCGCGCCCCGUAAAACGGGACGGCCCGCCAGAGGACCCAAACUCUAAUGUUUCUUAUUGUAACUUCUGAGUAAAACAAACAAAUAAAUCAAAACUUUCAACAACGGAUCUCUUGGUUCUGGCAUCGAUGAAGAACGCAGCAAAAUGCGAUAAGUAAUGUGAAUUGCAGAAUUCAGUGAAUCAUCGAAUCUUUGAACGCACAUUGCGCCCGCUGGUAUUCCGGCGGGCAUGCCUGUUCGAGCGUCAUUUCAACCCUCAAGCCCCCGGGUUUGGUGUUGGGGAUCGGCUCUGCCUUCUGGCGGUGCCGCCCCCGAAAUACAUUGGCGGUCUCGCUGCAGCCUCCAUUGCGUAGUAGCUAACACCUCGCAACUGGAACGCGGCGCGGCCAUGCCGUAAAACCCCAACUUCUGAAU
RNAcentral lists this unclassified non-coding RNA (472 nucleotides) under uncultured Fusarium. RNAcentral describes it as "sequence contains ITS1, 5.8S rRNA gene, ITS2". The stretch from base 152 to 305 matches the Rfam family "5.8S ribosomal RNA". The record is from RNAcentral. Lineage: Eukaryota; Fungi; Ascomycota; Sordariomycetes; Hypocreales; Nectriaceae.